RNAcentral lists this ribosomal RNA (494 nucleotides) under uncultured bacterium. Its description in RNAcentral is "partial 16S ribosomal RNA". It matches the Rfam family "Bacterial small subunit ribosomal RNA", at positions 28 to 507 of the family's 1533-position model. The record is from RNAcentral.
GACGAACGCUGGCGGCGCGCUUAACACAUGCAAGUCGAACGGAAAGGCCUGCUUUCCCUUGUGGAUUGCGGGUACUCGAGUGGCGAACGGGUGAGUAACACGUGAGUGAUCUGCCCCCAACUUGGGUAUAAGCCUGGGAAACUGGGUCUAAUUCCCGAUAGGACUGCAGGGUGGUGCCUGUGGUGGAACACGAUUUUCUAGUGGUUGGGGAUGAGCUCGCGGCCUAUCAGCUUGUUGGUGGGGUAAUGGCCUACCAAGGCGGCGACGGGUAGCCGGCCUGGGAGGGUGGACGGCCACAUUGGGACUGAGAUACAGCCCAGACUCCUACGGGAGGCAGCAGUGGGGAAUAUUGCACAAUGGGCGGAAGCCUGAUGCAGCGGCGCCGCGUGGGGGAUGACGGCCUUCGGGUUGUAAACUCCUUUCGACCGCGAGGAAGCCACCUGGUUGGAAGGGUGGUGACGGUAGUGGUAGAAGAAGCACCGGCUAACUACGUG